GUCUAGGUGAGAUGCUACAUUCUCUCUCACUAUAUAUAUAUAUAUAUAAACUCUUUUUUGUUCUUAGAAAAUUGAGAGUUAGAUGCAAAAAUAACAACGCUUUAUAUCAAAACAAAAAGGGAAAAAAUGACUAAAUGGGUCAAAACAAUUACAACUCCAUUUAGAAAAGCUAGAACUUUUUUCAAUAAUAAUCAACAAUCACCAAGAGAUUCACCAAGGGAAAAGAAGUCACAAGAAGAAGAACAAGAUAAGCAUGUAGUAGAUUUGCAAGGUGAAGUAAUGGCUUGUGGAUAUGAAGAUGUUCAAGUGAUGUGGUCAAUUUUGGACAAAUCCAAAGCCAUUAGAACAUAAAUCUUUGUUCUAUUUUGAACUUUAAUUAAACCAAGGCACAUAUUGUACAUAUUUUUUUAUCAUUAUCUUGUUCAUGUGGUGGCUAAAUUGACGCCCAAAAAACAAGAUUUUGAAAAUUUUGAUGAUGUACUAUACAUACCCCUCCCCCUCCCAAAAAAAAAAAAAACACAUAACAAGAAUUUUUUUUUUGGCUAAUCCCCAUGAUCAAUGAAAAUCACAGAGUUUUUUGUAUUUGA
This is a non-coding RNA of Solanum lycopersicum (tomato), 587 nucleotides long. Lineage: Eukaryota; Viridiplantae; Streptophyta; Magnoliopsida; Solanales; Solanaceae. The record is from RefSeq and is a predicted model, not a curated record.